This 889-nucleotide ribosomal RNA is filed under the name uncultured bacterium. RNAcentral describes it as "bacterial SSU rRNA". It matches the Rfam family "Bacterial small subunit ribosomal RNA", at positions 60 to 980 of the family's 1533-position model. The record is from RNAcentral.
AGUCGACGAUGAAUCUUCUAGCUUGCUAGAAGUGGAUUAGUGGCGCACGGGUGAGUAAUGCAUAGGUUAUGUGCCCUUUAGUCUGGGAUAGCCACUGGAAACGGUGAUUAAUACUGGAUACUCCCUACGGGGGAAAGUUUUUCGCUAAAGGAUCAGCCUAUGUCCUAUCAGCUUGUUGGUGAGGUAAUGGCUCACCAAGGCUAUGACGGGUAUCCGGCCUGAGAGGGUGAUCGGACACACUGGAACUGAGACACGGUCCAGACUCCUACGGGAGGCAGCAGUAGGGAAUAUUGCUCAAUGGGGGAAACCCUGAAGCAGCAACGCCGCGUGGAGGAUGAAGGUUUUAGGAUUGUAAACUCCUUUUGUUAGAGAAGAUUAUGACGGUACCUAACGAAUAAGCACCGGCUAACUCCGUGCCAGCAGCCGCGGUAAUACGGAGGGUGCAAGCGUUACUCGGAAUCACUGGGCGUAAAGAGUGCGUAGGCGGGGUAAUAAGUCAGAUGUGAAAUCCUGUAGCUUAACUACAGAACUGCAUUUGAAACUGUUACUCUGGAGUGUGGGAGAGGUAGGUGGAAUUCUUGGUGUAGGGGUAAAAUCCGUAGAGAUCAAGAGGAAUACUCAUUGCGAAGGCGACCUGCUGGAACAUUACUGACGCUGAUGCACGAAAGCGUGGGGAGCAAACAGGAUUAGAUACCCUGGUAGUCCACGCCCUAAACGAUGGAUGCUAGUUGUUGCCUUGCUUGUCAGGGCAGUAAUGCAGCUAACGCAUUAAGCAUCCCGCCUGGGGAGUACGGUCGCAAGAUUAAAACUCAAAGGAAUAGACGGGGACCCGCACAAGCGGUGGAGCAUGUGGUUUAAUUCGAAGAUACGCGAAGAACCUUACCUAGGC